GCCACCGUCGCGCGUUUUGAACGGAAGACGAAAUUAAAUGAAACCAACCAUGUAAAGAAACUGAAUCGCUGUAAAAUGAAUCCUGUCCGCCUCGGUUUGACGAGAAAAAUACGUGAGUGGCAGAAUCAAGAGGUGGACAACACUGCACUGCGGCGAAAGAAACGGUUCAAAUUUCUAACAAAAUUUCAACACAAACUGCAGUCAUAUUUCAAAAAGUGUACGACAGCCACCACUGAGGCCGGGACCACCACUGACCACGCCACGGACACAAGUCGUG
Long non-coding RNA from Achroia grisella, 277 nucleotides. RefSeq lists it as uncharacterized. The transcript is spliced from 3 exons. The record is from RefSeq and is a predicted model, not a curated record. NCBI's taxonomy places the organism in Eukaryota, Metazoa, Arthropoda, Insecta, Lepidoptera, Pyralidae.